GAGUGUUCCUGGCUGCUGCAAACUUUAUUAAAUAACAUGUAUUGCUAGUUUUUACUUAUGUAUUUGUUGUGCUUUUUUUUUUAUUUUCGUUAUAGUCACUAUGGCAAUCCAACGAGUGUCUGCAACCCUUGGCAAUUUAGUGAAAGACGUCUACAACAAGGAAGGCUGUAAUUUGCUGCAAAAAGCUUUGGGAAUGACGAAGCCUUGUGUGAAGCCUGUAGCCUUGGAGAAAGCGAUGAGUUCAAUUUCUCACAUACAGAAGAAGAAAUAUAAAUAUAUAUUUGCUUCAGUAUAUUAACACAGAGUUAAAGACAAUUUAGACAAAUACAUUAUCUGUAAAAUGUGUUCAUUAUGUG
RNAcentral lists this long non-coding RNA (356 nucleotides) under Gouania willdenowi (blunt-snouted clingfish). RNAcentral's name for it is "lncRNA (ENSGWIG00000018087.1)". The record is from RNAcentral. Lineage: Eukaryota; Metazoa; Chordata; Actinopteri; Blenniiformes; Gobiesocidae.